This 572-nucleotide small RNA is filed under the name Pan troglodytes (chimpanzee). Its description in RNAcentral is "processed transcript". Lineage: Eukaryota; Metazoa; Chordata; Mammalia; Primates; Hominidae. The record is from RNAcentral.
GGGUGCCACCGUUGCCGCAGGCUGGAGAGAGAUUGCUCCCAGUGAGGCGCGUACCGUCUGGGCGAGGGCUUCAUUCUUCCGCGGCGUCCCUGGAGGACUGGAGACUGAUGCAUGAGGGGGCUACGGAGGCGCAGGAGCGGUGGUGAUGGUCUGGGAAGCGGAGCUGAAGUGCCCUGGGCUUUGGUGAGGCGUGACAGUUUAUCAUGACCGUGUUCAGGCAGGAAAACGUGGAUGAUUACUACGACACCGGCGAGGAACUUGGCAGUGGACAGUUUGCGGUUGUGAAGAAAUGCCGUGAGAAAAGCACCGGCCUCCAGUAUGCCGCCAAAUUCAUCAAGAAAAGGAGGACUAAGUCCAGCCGGCGGGGUGUGAGCCGCGAGGACAUCGAGCGGGAGGUCAGCAUCCUGAAGGAGAUCCAGCACCCCAAUGUCAUCACCCUGCACGAGGUCUAUGAGAACAAGACGGACGUCAUCCUGAUCUUGGAACUUGUUGCAGGUGGAGAGCUGUUUGACUUCUUAGCUGAAAAGGAAUCUUUAACUGAAGAGGAAGCAACUGAAUUUCUCAAACAAAUU